RNAcentral lists this non-coding RNA (140 nucleotides) under uncultured Anaerovibrio sp. Its description in RNAcentral is "glmS glucosamine-6-phosphate activated ribozyme". It matches the Rfam family "glmS glucosamine-6-phosphate activated ribozyme aptamer". Rfam says of the family: This entry contains a glucosamine-6-phosphate activated ribozyme that is found in the mRNA for GlmS. GlmS is an enzyme that uses fructose-6-phosphate and glutamine to generate glucosamine-6-phosphate. The ribozyme catalyses self cleavage of the glmS mRNA that is thought to regulate GlmS activity. Lineage: Bacteria; Bacillati; Bacillota; Negativicutes; Selenomonadales; Selenomonadaceae. The record is from RNAcentral.
AAAGUUCUAGCGCAUGGCCUUGCUGAUGUGUCAGUGAGGUGACGAGGAAGAGGUUGUCGAUUUAUCAGCGGAUGCCUCUCGGCUUGCCGGUCGUUAGAAUACUGUAAAAACUGUCGGGUAACUGGCAGGACAGAGCGGUA